RNAcentral lists this ribosomal RNA (253 nucleotides) under uncultured bacterium. RNAcentral's name for it is "partial 16S ribosomal RNA". It matches the Rfam family "Bacterial small subunit ribosomal RNA", at positions 524 to 776 of the family's 1533-position model. The record is from RNAcentral.
UACGUAGGGGGCAAGCGUUGUCCGGAUUUAUUGGGCGUAAAGAGCGUGUAGGCGGCCAAGCAGGUCCGCUGUGAGAACUCGAGGCUCAACCUCGAGACGUCGGUGGAAACCGUUUGGCUAGAGUCCGGAAGAGGAGAGUGGAAUUCCCGGUGUAGCGGUGAAAUGCGCAGAUAUCGGGAAGAACACCCGUGGCGAAGGCGAGUCUCUGGGAUGAUGCUGACGCUGAGGCGCGAAAGCCAGGGGAGCAAACGGG